Harpia harpyja (harpy eagle) is the source of this 420-nucleotide long non-coding RNA. RefSeq lists it as uncharacterized. The record is from RefSeq and is a predicted model, not a curated record. Lineage: Eukaryota; Metazoa; Chordata; Aves; Accipitriformes; Accipitridae. The transcript is spliced from 3 exons.
UAAAUUAUAGCCCAGCAUGCACGAGCAUGAUUCCUACAGUUGCAGUAAUCCAGAGGCCUGUCAGUUCCUGACUUUAUGCAUGUUUAUUCCUACUUAUUUUCUAGUGUUGCACUGGAAUUUCCUGUCUUAGAUAGUUUGCAAUUGCAUCUUCAGGACUCUUAUAACAGCUGGUAUUUGGAUGGUCAAGGGAUAAAACCUCUCCUUUGAAACUUGCAGAACUCUUCUGAUUUAGUCAUAGAGUCACCAUGAACAAGAAUACCUGUAGUCUACAUGGGACGAGCAAAAGUGUUUCAGAAGAAGGUCUGCAUCACAGCACUGAGGAUGAAGAGUCUUUCCAGGGAAUGGAGCCCUAUCUUGUGCGGAGAUUAUCCUCCCGUUACAUCCAGCUUCCGCCCCUGGCUUUCAGGCAGUUAGAACAGG